AUACUUACCUGGCAGGGGAGAUACCAUGAUCACGAAGGUGGUUUUCCCAGGGCGAGGCUUAUCCAUUGCACUCCGGAUGUGCUGACCCCUGCGAUUUCCCCAAAUGUGGGAAACUCGACUGCAUAAUUUGUGGUAGUGGGGGACUGCGUUCGCGCUCUCCCCGG
This 164-nucleotide small nuclear RNA is filed under the name Tupaia belangeri chinensis (Chinese tree shrew). Its description in RNAcentral is "Tupaia chinensis (Chinese tree shrew) U1 spliceosomal RNA". It matches the Rfam family "U1 spliceosomal RNA". From Rfam's summary of the family: U1 is a small nuclear RNA (snRNA) component of the spliceosome (involved in pre-mRNA splicing). Its 5' end forms complementary base pairs with the 5' splice junction, thus defining the 5' donor site of an intron. There are significant differences in sequence and secondary structure between metazoan and yeast U1 snRNAs, the latter being much longer (568 nucleotides as compared to 164 nucleotides in human). The record is from Rfam by way of RNAcentral. Lineage: Eukaryota; Metazoa; Chordata; Mammalia; Scandentia; Tupaiidae.